UACGGGGGGGGCAAGCGUUGUUCGGAAUUACUGGGCGUAAAGCGCGCGCAGGCGGCCCGCGAGGUGUCCUGUGAAAGCCCCGUGCUCAACGCGGGAGGGUCAGGGCAAACCGGCGGGCUUGAGGCCGGUAGAGGUGGGUGGAACUCCUGGUGGAGUGGUGAAAUGCGUAGAGAUCAGGAAGAACACCCGUGGCGAAGGCGGCCCACUGGGCCGGAUCUGACGCUGAGGCGCGAAGGCGUGGGGAGCGAACGGG
This 253-nucleotide ribosomal RNA is filed under the name uncultured bacterium. Its description in RNAcentral is "partial 16S ribosomal RNA". It matches the Rfam family "Bacterial small subunit ribosomal RNA", at positions 524 to 776 of the family's 1533-position model. The record is from RNAcentral.